This 374-nucleotide long non-coding RNA is filed under the name Struthio camelus australis. Its description in RNAcentral is "lncRNA (ENSSCUG00000017409.1)". The record is from RNAcentral. Lineage: Eukaryota; Metazoa; Chordata; Aves; Struthioniformes; Struthionidae.
AUUGGUCUUGUUUAUUCUGAACACUCUGUGUGACAAUUUCAUAAUUCAGGUGUGCGCUAACAAACUUCUUCCAAGUCUAUCAUCCACCAACUUGUUGGGUUCUGCCAAGUUUUCAGCACAUUUCACAAGUGGUUUGAAAGAGCCUAUCUGCAGAGUUUGGAUGAUGGAAAUUGAUGAAAUUAAGAAGAAUGAUAUCUGAAAGACUUAUCCAGAUGUUAAUCACUGAGUACGUGAUAUGGUAUCAUCAGAGUUCAGUGAAGAUUCAUCAAUUAAAUAAGACCACUGACUUUGGGUAUCACAUGCUUUGUCCAAAGCUCAUUGCAGUGCAGCAGCAAGAGAAGUUUAAUGAAGAAGAACAACCCUAUUCUUUCUGA